Molecule: transfer RNA, 65 nt
Filed under: Amicotermes ivorensis
Lineage: Eukaryota; Metazoa; Arthropoda; Insecta; Blattodea; Termitidae
Description: tRNA-His
Rfam family: tRNA
About the family: Transfer RNA (tRNA) molecules are approximately 80 nucleotides in length. Their secondary structure includes four short double-helical elements and three loops (D, anti-codon, and T loops). Further hydrogen bonds mediate the characteristic L-shaped molecular structure. tRNAs have two regions of fundamental functional importance: the anti-codon, which is responsible for specific mRNA codon recognition, and the 3' end, to which the tRNAs corresponding amino acid is attached (by aminoacyl-tRNA synthetases). tRNAs cope with the degeneracy of the genetic code in two manners: having more than one tRNA (with a specific anti-codon) for a particular amino acid; and 'wobble' base-pairing, i.e. permitting non-standard base-pairing at the 3rd anti-codon position.
Source: RNAcentral
AUCUAAGUAGUUUAAUUUUUAAAAUACUGGUUUGUGGUGCCGGUGAUGUAGUUUUACCUUGGAUU